AUAAGUUAAAACUUGAUUUUGAGGAAGAUGCGGAAAGUAUAAUUGGCAUGGAGAACGUUCUGAGCAGUGAAAGAACCCCUUCUCGUAGUUUUCCAUCAAUUGAUGAGGAAAUAGUUGGUUUUGAGGAAGAUGCGGAAAGUAUAAUUGGCAUGGAGAACGUUCUGAGCAGUGAAAGAACCCCUUCUCGUAGUUUUCCAUCAAUUGAUGAGGAAAUAGUUGGUUUUGAGGAAGAUGCGGAAAGUAUAAUACAGAAAUUGACUGGAUGUACCGAGGAACUAGACGUUGUCUCGAUUGUUGGAAUGCCUGGACUAGGCAAAACAACUUUG
Molecule: long non-coding RNA, 326 nt
Filed under: Solanum tuberosum (potato)
Lineage: Eukaryota; Viridiplantae; Streptophyta; Magnoliopsida; Solanales; Solanaceae
Description: long non-coding RNA (STUB_LNC009496)
Source: RNAcentral